UAUAUACCUUCACGCUAAUCAAAACGAGAUCCGGCCUGAUGUGUCCUUCCGCUCUUCGUCACCCGCCUCUCGUCAGCACCCUUCAGCCUGUAGACCUUCAACUUUCUGGGCCGCUCUCGUUCCAUCCUGCUAAAGAUUAACCAAAAAAGCUGUCAGCAAUAACUUUUCCCUCCAUCGUGGGCUCCUAGACAGAGGGACUAUAUGGUGUUCCUCCGCGCAAACACCGCCCAGCCGAGAUGGGAGGCCACGUGAUACAGCAGCUGAGGACACUCCUCCCGCCCGCCGCGGAGCGCAGGGGGAUGUGGGGGGGCUGCUGCUCCUGCCCGCCAACACAGCCAGUGAGCUCUGCGCGCCGAUUGGCUGGUGGCGUGGUAACCGUGUGAGCGCUGAGCCGCCAUUGGCUGACGCCCGAAAAGGGAGAGAUGGUGAGAGGCACGGAGAACGAGGAGCCGUAAAAUGGCGGUGGCGCUGGUUCUAUUCUCUGCUUCACAUUUCCGUGGCGUGUUCUCUUUGAAGCACCACGCCUCCUUUGUUACUGACAGCUCUUUAUGCCCUCCACACGAAGUCCUGUCCGCUCUCCCUGUGCGUUCUUAACAGCCCCUCCAGACGACGUCCAGCAGAGUUGAGGGCAGAACUUUGCUGAGGAGAGUCACUGCUCCCUCAGAUAAGUGGAAAACUCCCUGCCUGCUACUUGCCCCACAGAGAUAGGGCUGUGUGUUUGUGUCCCUGACACCCUGCUAGCUUUGUAGCUGAGCUGUAACAUUGGCCUGGGGUGGUUUGUGAGGAGAUGCAAGAGCAGCCAUUACUCAAUGGAGGAGAGCAUUAGUGGGUCAUCUACACAGCCUCACGGCCCUAGUAAACAGCCUCACCUUGGGAAGGUUUUCAAGCAGGUUUGCAUUAUGUUUUAUCUGAACUAAAUCAGCCAAAUGAGAAGGCAGCCCUGCUCCAUCACGUCUGGCCCUGUAUGUUUAUAGCAGCUCCUCUGGUCCUCACCUAGCCCUGUAUGAAACCCAUGGGGAACAGAUGUUUUCAGUCCCCUCGUGAUUCUCUGAGGACACUAAAGCACCAUAUGCAGCUCUGAGUGAGGAAGGUGAGCUGGGAAGGUUGCUACCCAUGUUUUCUUUCACUACCUGGCCUUUGGUUGCUUUCCCACAUUACCAGCCCUACAACACACCAUCAGCUCUGAAGAUUAAUUAUAGAAUGACUUAGGUUGGAAGGAUCAUCAAGCUCCAACCCCCCUCCAUGGAUCCUUGCUUGCUCAAAACAUUAUCACCCUGUCAAUAAACUCCUCUUGGCUCCACUGCAAAAGGCUCCCUUGUUUUCCAUUUAGGGCUUGUUAGUAUUUGUGUACAGCCAUGGCCUUGGCUCAGUUUGCACAAGUAUACCUGCCUGGAACUCAUUAAACAGCUCCACUGAUAAUCCCAGAGGAUGGGCAUGGCCAGGGAGGACAGUCAUGGCCAGGUUUCUACUUUUAGCAGCAGGAUGUCACCAUCACUGCAACAAAUUGGGAAUCAAGCAUCGAUUUUUAAUGGCUCACUAAGAUGGAAGAGGCAGCAGAGAAAAAUGCCCUCCAAUAUCAGAAAACACGAUAGCAACUGAGUGAUCUCAGAUGACUCCUCUGAUACGUGCACCAAUGAGCAGGCAGAUCUUGCUUCAAAGCAAAAUUCAGAGGAUGGAUGCAGCAGCUACUGAAGAAGCCUGGCUCCUGUGAUAAGUUGGAUCCAUCCCUAUGCAGAAGUGAGGGACCAGCUGCAGGCAAGAGGAAAUGCUCAUGCAGAGCUCACAGCAUGAUAGAGGCCAAAAUGACCUUGUUGGGGAGUGACAAAAUGCUCAGUUAUAUGCAGCACUGCAGAAAGCACCAGGAGGUAAACUGAUUCUCCUCCAUUCACCCUUCUUCUUCAUUAAAAUGGAAGAAGUGGUGAGGAACCUGCCUACAGCACAUUGUGAGUUUAGACAAAAUACCUGCCAUGGGACCAGAUCAAGAGCCAAUGCACUCCAUCAUUUGCCAUCUAUGCCCUGUGUCUGUUGCCUACUACGUUCAUGUCCUUUGCAGUGCUGAACAGAAUGAGACAAGAAAGCCUUACAGGACUGGGAUCACUGCAGUGGGAUGUCUAACAGAGCACUAUGGCGCUGCUGCCUUUGCUUCUGCGGAACAGCAAUGAUUCUACCACGAGAGGCAGGGGUAAGGGUGGGCUUAAAACACUUAAACACAAACCCAGAAGACUCAUGGAAGCAACUUUUGCUCAUUAUUUAUAUGGAGAAGGCUUUUCAUGAGGAAUGUGGAUAGGAUUUAUAUACGUACUAUAUAUAUAUAUAUAUAUAUCCACAUGCAUACAUAUUUCCUCUGAGAAGUUUAGCUCUGAGUUUGAAAAGAUGGAUCAAAUUGCUGCUUAGCUACUGGAGCCAGGGAAACUGAACCAGCAAAAUAAAAACCUGUCUGAC
Coturnix japonica (Japanese quail) is the source of this 2442-nucleotide long non-coding RNA. RefSeq lists it as uncharacterized. Lineage: Eukaryota; Metazoa; Chordata; Aves; Galliformes; Phasianidae. The record is from RefSeq and is a predicted model, not a curated record.